Non-coding RNA from Onychomys torridus (southern grasshopper mouse), 357 nucleotides. NCBI's taxonomy places the organism in Eukaryota, Metazoa, Chordata, Mammalia, Rodentia, Cricetidae. The record is from the annotation of a RefSeq genome assembly.
AUGAAGACUCCCAAUCAACUCCUGGGUUUCCUGAUCCUCUGCCUCCCAGCUGUACAAUGUGACAUCCACAUGACCCAGAGUCCAGCUUCUCUGUCUGCCUUUAUAGGAGACACUGUCACCAUCACUUGCCGGGUCAGUGAAGACAUUAGUAGAUAUUUAGGCUGGUACCAGCAGAAAAUGGGGAAGAGCCCCAGGUUUCUGAUCUAUUAUGCAUCCAAUUUACACUCUGGUGUCCCAAAGAGGUUCAGUGGUAGUGGCUUUGGGGCAGAAUACACUCUCACUAUCAGCAGCAUGGAGCCUGAAGAUGCUGGGACUUACUACUGUCAACAGUGUUUCAGUUAUCCUCCACAGUGCUAA